GCAGACCACGUUAGAACCUCGGCUCCUGGAGUAGCAGAACCUCGGCUUCAAUGGGACCCUCAUUUCAUAAAUGAAGAAACUGAGAUUCAAAGAGGGGAACUACCGAAGGUUACAGAGCGAGUUCGUGGAUGGGGAAACUGAGCCUCACAUGUAUGAAUUCCAGCAUAUAAGCAACAGACUCCAGAUUUGGACAUGUAUAUCUUAUUCCAGGCUUCCCAGAUGACCACCAAGGUGGAAGGGAUGAUGAUGUCCAGGCAGAAGGGAGCUAGGCCGGCCCAGGCUUUUCCUCUAGGCACAGCGGACUCCAGGUUCAGCCUUCCCGGAUGACGAGGUCUUGCUCUGUCACCUAGGCUGGAGUACAGUGGUGCGAUCAUGGUUCACUGCAGCCUUGAGCUCCCUGGGCUCAAGGGAUCCUCCCAUCUUGGACUCCUGAGUAGCUGGGACCACAGGUGUGCACUGCACCACCAUGCCUGACUCAUUUUUGUAUGUUUGUAGAGACGGUUUCACCAUGUUGCCCAGGCUGGUCUUGAACUCCUUGGCUCAAGCAAUCUGUCAGCCUCAGCCUCCCAAAGUGCUGGGAUUACAGGCGUGAGCCAUUGUGCCUGGCAUAUUUAUUGUCUUGAUGGUGGUGAUGCUUCCAUGGGUGUAUGCUAAUACAUUUGUCAGACUAAUCAAAUUACACACUUUGAAUAUGUGCAGAUUAUUAUACAUUAAUCAUAUUAAAUACCUCAAUAAAGCUGUUGAAAAGUAA
This 751-nucleotide long non-coding RNA is filed under the name Homo sapiens (human). Its description in RNAcentral is "uncharacterized LOC101929305, transcript variant 6 (LOC101929305)". The record is from RNAcentral. Lineage: Eukaryota; Metazoa; Chordata; Mammalia; Primates; Hominidae.